RNAcentral lists this ribosomal RNA (573 nucleotides) under uncultured Pelagibacterales bacterium. RNAcentral's name for it is "bacterial SSU rRNA". It matches the Rfam family "Bacterial small subunit ribosomal RNA", at positions 90 to 697 of the family's 1533-position model. The record is from RNAcentral. Lineage: Bacteria; Pseudomonadati; Pseudomonadota; Alphaproteobacteria; Candidatus Pelagibacterales.
ACUUAGUGGCAGACGGGUGAGUAACAUGUGGGUAUCUACCCUUUGGCCUGGAAUAACACGAGGAAACUUGUGCUAAUACCGGAUAAGUCUUUACGGAGAAAGCUUUAUGCACCAUUGGAUGAGCCCGCACUUGAUUAGUUUGUUGGUAGGGUAAUGGCCUACCAAGACUAUGAUCAAUAGCUGAUUUGAGAGGAUGAUCAGCCACAUUGGGACUGAGACACGGCCCAAACUCCUACGGGAGGCAGCAGUGGGGAAUCUUGCACAAUGGAGGAAACUCUGAUGCAGCGAUGCCGCGUGAGUGAAGAAGGCCUUUGGGUUGUAAAGCUCUUUCGUCGGGGAAGAAAAUGACUGUACCCGAAUAAGAAGGUCCGGCUAACUUCGUGCCAGCAGCCGCGGUAAUACGAAGGGACCUAGCGUAGUUCGGAAUUACUGGGCUUAAAGAGUUCGUAGGUGGUUGAAAAAGUUGGUGGUGAAAUCCCAGAGCUUAACUCUGGAACUGCCAUCAAAACUUUUCAGCUAGAGUAUGAUAGAGGAAAGCAGAAUUUCUAGUGUAGAGGUGAAAUUCGUAGAUAU